Long non-coding RNA from Zea mays, 672 nucleotides. RefSeq lists it as uncharacterized. The transcript has 3 exons. NCBI's taxonomy places the organism in Eukaryota, Viridiplantae, Streptophyta, Magnoliopsida, Poales, Poaceae. The record is from RefSeq and is a predicted model, not a curated record.
AUAUCAAGGAGAGCUUUAGGUGGCCUUUUUUGCUGAAAAGCUUUGCAACUGUUUGCAAUGGGUUUAGGAGAUAUUCUCCGCAAUGAUAUGUCCAGUUUGUCGUGGCAUCUAUAAUUGCAGUAUAUGCAGAACUAAGAAAGGAUGGUUCCCUACUGGUUCUGCAUGUAGGAAGGCGGUCGGACUUGGGUACAAAUAUGUAGCACACUUUCUAAUUGCCAAGCAUAAUAACAAACAAGUGCCACUGAUAUAGUGAACAACGCGGAGGAGCUCCAAUAAUCUGAUGUGGGAACAGGACCUGCCAUGUUUGAGGAUAAGAAGAUAGGUGAUCUAGCUGGAUGAAAUUGUCGACAAGGCCAUUAGCAUCAUGCAAGUUACCUCGAAGCAUCUCAUGUAUAUCUGCAAGAAGCUGCACUCACGGAAGGCAUUGAGUGCAAUAGAGGUGAAGGAACUGCUUGAAGCCCUUUAAGCAAUUGCUGAAGGUUUGGACCUAGAUUCACUCUUGUGCCAGAGUUUGGUGUAGUCCUCGAUUAUAAACUGUGUACCAUGUUAAUGUAGUGACAUAGUUUGUAUGAUGCAAUUCAUAGUGAUGUUGUUUGAAGCUGUUUGUAUGGAUUAUGAUGUCUGAUGCAGUUUGUAUGAACUAUGUCAUAUUAUGUUGAAUGAAGCUAUUGA